This 515-nucleotide ribosomal RNA is filed under the name Arsenophonus endosymbiont of Bemisia tabaci. RNAcentral describes it as "bacterial LSU rRNA". It matches the Rfam family "Bacterial large subunit ribosomal RNA", at positions 172 to 728 of the family's 2925-position model. The record is from RNAcentral. Lineage: Bacteria; Pseudomonadati; Pseudomonadota; Gammaproteobacteria; Enterobacterales; Morganellaceae.
AAACGAGGCGAACCGGGGAAACUGAAACAUCUCAGUACCCCGAGGAAAAGAAAUCAACCGAGAUUCCCCCAGUAGCGGCGAGCGAACAGGGAGCAGCCCAGAGUCAACAUCAAUAUUUACCGCAGGAGAAAGAUCUGGAAAGGCCGGCAAUAAAGGGUGAUAGCCCCGUAUCUGAAGCGGUAAGUGUUGUGAACUCGAAGAGUAAGGCGGGACACGUGUUAUCCUGUCUGAAUAUGGGGGGACCAUCCUCCAAGGCUAAAUACUCCUGACUGACCGAUAGUGAACCAGUACCGUGAGGGAAAGGCGAAAAGAACCCCGGCGAGGGGAGUGAAAUAGAACCUGAAACCGUGUACGUACAAGCAGUAGGAGCACCCGAAAAGGUGUGACUGCGUACCUUUUGUAUAAUGGGUCAGCGACUUAUAUUCUGUAGCAAGGUUAACCGCAUAAGGGAGCCGUAGGGAAACCGAGUCUUAACUGGGCGUUAAGUUGCAGGGUAUAGACCCGAAACCCGGUGA